GAUGAACGCUGGCGGCGUGCCUAAUACAUGCAAGUCGAGCGAACAGAUGAGGAGCUUGCUCCUCUGACGUUAGCGGCGGACGGGUGAGUAACACGUGGAUAACCUACCUAUAAGACUGGGAUAACUUCGGGAAACCGGAGCUAAUACCGGAUAAUAUAUUGAACCGCAUGGUUCAAUAGUGAAAGACGGUUUUGCUGUCACUUAUAGAUGGAUCCGCGCCGCAUUAGCUAGUUGGUAAGGUAACGGCUUACCAAGGCAACGAUGCGUAGCCGACCUGAGAGGGCGACGGGGGGAAGUGGAAGUGAAACACGGGGGAGACGACAACGGGAGGCGGCAGAAGGGGAUGUUAGGCAAUAGGUUAAAGAGUUAAUAAACAACGAGAAGGAGGAGAUAAAGAAGGUUGGAGCGGAAAAGCGUGUGAUUAGGGAAGAACAAAAGAAUGCGGCACAAAACACGGCUGGAGGGGAAGUAAUAAGAGAGCGGAGGAGAACACCGUG
RNAcentral lists this ribosomal RNA (497 nucleotides) under uncultured bacterium. RNAcentral describes it as "partial 16S ribosomal RNA". The stretch from base 16 to 379 matches the Rfam family "Bacterial small subunit ribosomal RNA", at positions 43 to 396 of the family's 1533-position model. The record is from RNAcentral.